CCCUUAGAUGUCCUGGGCUGCACGCGCGCUACACUGAUGUGUCCAGUAAGCACCUAACCUCUUCCGAAAGGAACGGGUAACCUUUGCAAAGCACAUCGUGAUGGGGAUAGAUUAUUGCAAUUAUUAGUCUUGAACGAGGAAUUCCUAGUAAGCACAAGUCAUCAGCUUGUGUUGAUUACGUCCCUGCCCUUUGUACACACCACCCGUCGCUCCUACCGAUUGAAUGUUCCGGUGAGCUCUUCGGACUGCGCGGUCUGCAGUUUCUGCGUUCCGUGCGGAAAGUUGCGCAAACCUUAACAUUUAGAGGAAGGAGAAGUCGUAACA
RNAcentral lists this ribosomal RNA (324 nucleotides) under uncultured eukaryote. RNAcentral's name for it is "partial 18S ribosomal RNA". It matches the Rfam family "Eukaryotic small subunit ribosomal RNA", at positions 1470 to 1796 of the family's 1831-position model. The record is from RNAcentral.